Molecule: non-coding RNA, 45 nt
Organism: Hymenolepis diminuta
Lineage: Eukaryota; Metazoa; Platyhelminthes; Cestoda; Cyclophyllidea; Hymenolepididae
Source: Rfam
CAAAAGGCUCUUCUCAGAGCCUCUACAAUACUGGUUAAAAGUCAG